This is a small nucleolar RNA of Salarias fasciatus (jewelled blenny), 132 nucleotides long. NCBI's taxonomy places the organism in Eukaryota, Metazoa, Chordata, Actinopteri, Blenniiformes, Blenniidae. The record is from Ensembl.
AGCGAGGCUAGAGUCACGCCUGGGUAUGACCCGUUGUCCUGGUGUGCUUGAGCGCUCGCAGAGUAAAUGUCUUUGUUAAUUCAUUGGCUGCAGUCUGUCGUGGCAAAGUCAAUCACCGACUCAGACACAUCG